This is a long non-coding RNA of Brassica rapa (field mustard), 1569 nucleotides long. RefSeq lists it as uncharacterized. NCBI's taxonomy places the organism in Eukaryota, Viridiplantae, Streptophyta, Magnoliopsida, Brassicales, Brassicaceae. The record is from RefSeq and is a predicted model, not a curated record.
GGUGAUAAUAGGUGGAGCAGCGAGAGAACGGCGUCGUCGGAUUGUGGAGGGAAGAAAAGCAAGGAAGAGGGUGACGUGGCGGAGGAGCUGAAGAAAGCCUUGAAAGGAGCUUCUUGAUGUGAGCUAUGAGCUUAGAUUAUAUUGGAAGGAAUAUAUAUGGAUUUGGAAUAGAGUUUGUGGUUGUGUUGAUUAAACAAAGUAGGAGAUUUUACACUCUGGAGGGAUCUAGAAAGCUAUCUGGAAGCAAUUGUUGACAAGGAUGUUAGAGAGUUCCAUUGGAGUUACUGCUCAUGUUCAGUCCUACGAGGAAAUCUAGUGGUGAAGAUGUUUAGUGGUAUGAUGAAUCUGGAUGAGUGUUGGGUGAUGAUGAUUGCUAGCAAAUCUGUUUCUAGAAAAAGUUGGAAAGAAACAUGUAUUAUUUGCUGCGUAUUUGUGUAAUGAAAGUGUAAUGAAAGCCUUCUCUUUCUACAAGUCCCUUCUCCUUCAAAUUCUUUCUGACUUCAAGCUAUCUCUUUUGCUUUCUAUGUUUCUUAGCCUUCAAGUUCCAAAGUCUCAGAAAGCAUUUGUAUUUUCACAUACAACAAAAACAGUUUUCAUCUCAUGGCUUUUUCAUGCACUCUCUUAUUUCGGAUGUUUUUCAAAUUAUUCUCAUUUAUUUUAUUAAUCUUUGUUUUAAUGUUUUUAUUUAAAAAUCUAUUUUUAAAAUAUUAUCUUCUAAUAUGUUUUAUUUAAUCAAUUUUUUUAAGUAAAAUAAAAAAAUGUUUAAAGUUUUUUUUUUUAGAAUCCCUAAAUAAGAGACUCCCAUUGGAGCACGAAAAUGUUUGGAUUUUUAGUGUUGUCUCUUAAUUUACUUUUACAACUUAAAAGUAUUAAAAAAAAUAAGAAUCCCUAAAUGAGUCUUUGGUUAAGAGUAACUCCAAUGGAGUUACCCAUCAUUGGAGUCCUUAACAAUAGAAUAAUAUUAUUUUUUUUUUGAAUAGUUAAGGACUCUAAUCAAAAUUGUAUGUCUAUUAUGAAGUUCUUAAGAAUAAAAAAUAUUAAAUUUGUAAAAUAUUUAAAUUGAAAAUUUUAUUUAUUGAAUGAUUAAAUGUAAACAUACAAUAAUUAUACAUAUUCAUCAUUACCAAACUUGUUCCAAAUAUUUUCAAUUAAAUCAUAUUUCAAUUGUUCAUGUAUAUGCCUAUCACGAACAUGAUUCCGUAGGCCAAGCAUAUUACCGAGAUUUGAAGGCAUGUCGGUAGAAUAUGACAAAUUCACAUGUGAACAUGAUUCCGUAGGCCAAGCAUAUUGCCGUAUGAAUGCUUUUUUUCCCCUUACGAAACACAACCCUAACUCGCACCAAUCAGACGUUGCCAAGUCAUCUAGGACCAAGUCCUUAAACUCCUUAAUUAAGGACCCUUUCUUAGCUUACAAAAUUUUUAUAAUAUUAUUUUAAUCUGUUUUGCAUAAAGAUUAGUGCUAAGAAACAACUAAGAACCCGCGUUGCAGGUGGUCUAAUGGUGCUCUUAGUUUACACAUCGUACAUGUCACAUGUGCUUCUUUUUUUUUGGUCAAAGUCACAUGUGCUUC